GGAUGAACGCUGGCGGCGUGCCUAAUACAUGCAAGUCGAGCGAACAGAUAAGGAGCUUGCUCCUUUGACGUUAGCGGCGGACGGGUGAGUAACACGUGGGUAACCUACCUAUAAGACUGGGAUAACUUCGGGAAACCGGAGCUAAUACCGGAUAAUAUUUCGAACCGCAUGGUUCGAUAGUGAAAGAUGGUUUUGCUAUCACUUAUAGAUGGACCCGCGCCGUAUUAGCUAGUUGGUAAGGUAACGGCUUACCAAGGCGACGAUACGUAGCCGACCUGAGAGGGUGAUCGGCCACACUGGAACUGAGACACGGUCCAGACUCCUACGGGAGGCAGCAGUAGGGAAUCUUCCGCAAUGGGCGAAAGCCUGACGGAGCAACGCCGCGUGAGUGAUGAAGGUCUUCGGAUCGUAAAACUCUGUUAUUAGGGAAGAACAUACGUGUAAGUAACURUGCACGUCUUGACGGUACCUAAUCAGAAAGCC
This 483-nucleotide ribosomal RNA is filed under the name Staphylococcus sp. WBUSh1. RNAcentral describes it as "bacterial SSU rRNA". It matches the Rfam family "Bacterial small subunit ribosomal RNA", at positions 27 to 492 of the family's 1533-position model. Lineage: Bacteria; Bacillati; Bacillota; Bacilli; Caryophanales; Staphylococcaceae. The record is from RNAcentral.